GCAGCCGUGGCCUACUGGUUAGCGCUUCGGACUUGUAACCGGAGGGUUGCCGGUUCGAACCCCGACUGGCCACA
This 74-nucleotide transfer RNA is filed under the name Alosa alosa (allis shad). Its description in RNAcentral is "tRNA-OTHER". The record is from RNAcentral. Lineage: Eukaryota; Metazoa; Chordata; Actinopteri; Clupeiformes; Clupeidae.